This 497-nucleotide ribosomal RNA is filed under the name uncultured bacterium. RNAcentral's name for it is "partial 16S ribosomal RNA". It matches the Rfam family "Bacterial small subunit ribosomal RNA", at positions 28 to 507 of the family's 1533-position model. The record is from RNAcentral.
GAUGAAUGCUGGCGGCGUGCCUAAUACAUGCAAGUCGAGCGAACAGAUAAGGAGCUUGCUCCUUUGAAGUUAGCGGCGGACGGGUGAGUAACACGUGGGUAACCUACCUAUAAGACUGGGAUAACUUCGGGAAACCGGAGCUAAUACCGGAUAACAUUUAGAACCGCAUGGUUCUAAAGUGAAAGAUGGUUUUGCUAUCACUUAUAGAUGGACCCGCGCCGUAUUAGCUAGUUGGUAAGGUAACGGCUUACCAAGGCGACGAUACGUAGCCGACCUGAGAGGGUGAUCGGCCACACUGGAACUGAGGCACGGUCCAGACUCCUACGGGAGGCAGCAGUAGGGAAUCUUCCGCAAUGGGCGAAAGCCUGACGGAGCAACGCCGCGUGAGUGAUGAAGGGUUUCGGCUCGUAAAACUCUGUUAUUAGGGAAGAACAAAUGUGUAAGUAACUGUGCACAUCUUGACGGUACCUAAUCAGAAAGCCACGGCUAACUACGUG